This 347-nucleotide long non-coding RNA is filed under the name Populus trichocarpa (black cottonwood). RNAcentral's name for it is "long non-coding RNA (PTRI_LNC003717)". Lineage: Eukaryota; Viridiplantae; Streptophyta; Magnoliopsida; Malpighiales; Salicaceae. The record is from RNAcentral.
CGUAUAUACAUGAUAUAUCUCCCACAUUGAGCUCUGGUUUUUUAUUUAAAAGGAAAAAACCAAGCUAGCUCUGAUUGCCAGUAAAAAAAAACAAGAAGAAGAAGAAGAAGAACCAAAGAAGAAAAGGUGGAGAUUUGCAUGUAAAAAGGUCGUAAAAACAAGAAGAAGAAGAAGAAUUAAAGAAGAAAAGGUGGGGGUUUGCAUGUAAAAAGGUCGUAUCCAAGAAGGUAAAGGCCCUCAGGAACGAGAUGGUGAUGGUGGUGUUACAAUUAACUUUCCAGUUCCCACAGUGUUCAAGCUGGAUAAAGCUAGCAGAUCAAAAUUCAAAAUCAGAAUGGGAUGAUCAU